This 467-nucleotide ribosomal RNA is filed under the name uncultured bacterium. RNAcentral describes it as "partial 16S ribosomal RNA". It matches the Rfam family "Bacterial small subunit ribosomal RNA", at positions 29 to 507 of the family's 1533-position model. The record is from RNAcentral.
ACGAACGCUGGCGGCGUGCUUAACACAUGCCAGUCGAACGGAAAGGCCCUGCUUUUGUGGGGUGCUCGAGUGGCGAACGGGUGAGUAACACGUGAGUAACCUGCCCUUGACUUUGGGAUAACUUCAGGAAACUGGGGCUAAUACCGGAUAGGAGCUCCUGCUGCAUGGUGGGGGUUGGAAAGUUUCGGCGGUUGGGGAUGGACUCGCGGCUUAUCAGCUUGUUGGUGGGGUAGUGGCUUACCAAGGCUUUGACGGGUAGCCGGCCUGAGAGGGUGACCGGCCACAUUGGGACUGAGAUACGGCCCAGACUCCUACAGGAGGCAGCAGUGGGGAAUAUUGCACAAUGGGCGGAAGCCUGAUGCAGCAACGCCGCGUGCGGGAUGACGGCCUUCGGGUUGUAAACCGCUUUCGCCUGUGACGAAGCGUGAGUGACGGUAAUGGGUAAAGAAGCACCGGCUAACUACGUG